Molecule: ribosomal RNA, 279 nt
Filed under: uncultured bacterium
Lineage: Bacteria
Description: partial 16S ribosomal RNA
Rfam family: Bacterial small subunit ribosomal RNA
Source: RNAcentral
UGCCAGCCGCCGCGGUAAUACGUAGGUGGCGAGCGUUAUCCGGAUUUAUUGGGCGUAAAGCGCGCGCAGGCGGUUGGUCAAGUCCGACGUGAAAUCUCUCGGCUUAACUGGGAGGGGUCGUUAGAAACUGAUCAACUUGAGGCAUUAUGAAGUAAUUAGAAUGUGUAGUGUAGCGGUGAAAUGCAUAGAUAUUACACAGAAUACCAAUUGCGAAGGCAGGUUACUAAUAAUGUACUGACACUGAGGGACGAAAGCGUGGGGAGCGAACAGGAUUAGAUA